RNAcentral lists this long non-coding RNA (728 nucleotides) under Salmo salar (Atlantic salmon). RNAcentral describes it as "lncRNA (ENSSSAG00000106665.1)". The record is from RNAcentral. Lineage: Eukaryota; Metazoa; Chordata; Actinopteri; Salmoniformes; Salmonidae.
CCUAGAGGUACCCUCUACCCCCCAUCACCCCUAUUCCCUACCUAGAGGUACCCUCUACCCCCAUCACCCCUAUUCUCUACCUAGAGGUACCCUCUACCCCCCAUCACCCCUAUUCCCUAUCUAGAGGUACCCUCUACCCCCCAUCACCCCUAUUCCCUACCUAGAGGUACCCUCUACCCCCCAUCACCCCUAUUCCCUACCUAGAGGUACCCUCUACCCCCCAUCACCCCUAUUCCCUACCUAGAGGUACCCUCUACCCCCCAUCACCCCUAUUCCCUAUCUAGAGGUACCCUCUACACCAUCACCCUAUGCCCUAUACCAUACAUACACCCUACACACUACGCCCUAUACCAUACAUACACCCUAAACACUACACACUGCACCCUAUUCCAUACACCCUACAACCUACACACUGCACCCUAUUCCAUACAUGCACCCUACAACCUACACACUGCACCCUAUUCCAUACACCCUACGCCCUACACACUACACCCUAUUCCAUACAUACACCCUACAACCUACACACUGCACCCUAUUCCAUACAUACACCCUACAACCUACACACUGCACCCUAUUCCGUACAUACACCCUACACCCUACACACUGCACCCUAUUCCAUACAUACACCCUAUAACCUACACACUGCACCCUAUUCCAUACAUACACCCUACACCCUACACACUGCACCCUAUUCCAUCCACCCUACACACUGCACCCUAUUCCAUACA